GACGAACGCUGGCGGCGUGCUUAACACAUGCAAGUCGAACGGAAAGGCCCUGCUUUUGUGGGGUGCUCGAGUGGCGAACGGGUGAGUAACACGUGAGUAACCUGCCCUUGACUUUGGGAUAACUUCAGGAAACUGGGGCUAAUACCGGAUAGGAGCUCCUGCUGCAUGGUGGGGGUUGGAAAGUUUCGGCGGUUGGGGAUGGACUCGCGGCUUAUCAGCUUGUUGGUGGGGUAGUGGCUUACCAAGGCUUUGACGGGUAGCCGGCCUGAGAGGGUGACCGGCAACAUUGGGACGGGGAUACGGCCAAGACUCCUCCGGGAGGCAGAGGUGGGAAAUAUUGACCAAUGGGCGGAAGCCGAAUGCAGCAACGCCGCGUGCGGGAUGACGGCCUUAGGGUGGUAAACCGCUUUCGCCUGUGACGAAGCGUAAGUGACGUAAAUGGUUAAAAAAGAACCGGCUAACAACGUG
This 468-nucleotide ribosomal RNA is filed under the name uncultured bacterium. Its description in RNAcentral is "partial 16S ribosomal RNA". It matches the Rfam family "Bacterial small subunit ribosomal RNA", at positions 28 to 507 of the family's 1533-position model. The record is from RNAcentral.